RNAcentral lists this long non-coding RNA (543 nucleotides) under Crocodylus porosus (Australian saltwater crocodile). Its description in RNAcentral is "lncRNA (ENSCPRG00005009054.1)". Lineage: Eukaryota; Metazoa; Chordata; Crocodylia; Crocodylidae. The record is from RNAcentral.
GCGGAGCGAGCGGCGGUUGGGAGCGCUCGGCAGCUGCAGCCUCGCGCGGGGAGCAGCGAGCGGCGCGGAGCCCGCAGGGUCGGGUCAUGCUGCGCACGCCUUGCUGCUCCCGCCGCCGCUCGCCCCCGCCCCUGCCUCGCCGCGGGAAUAAUGCACUAGGAUGUCAGCGCUGAGAAAGGAUUUCUCAUCCAGUGAAGCACGAGUGUAACCACUGCAAGUUCACCCCUGCUGCUACUUGUGAAUGCCUGCAACGUGCACAAGGCUCAGACAUUAUGGGGACGACUCAGGUUCUGCCUGGCAUACUGCAAAAGCAUUGCUGUAUUUUACCAGACAGGAAUACAGAUUGGAGCUCAAAAAUAACUAAGAAGUGAAAAAUUAGGUAUUUGUUGCAAACUUUACACUCUCAAAUUAAAGCUUAAAAACCUCCCAGGAAGGAAAGGAGGCCAGAUUGGAGGGGGAGGAGGUGAGAGGAAGGAAGUGGGUGGAGAAAAACCACUAUAUACCCAAGAUGCAAGGAAAGUUGAAAAGUAGAAGAAAAAAUAU